This 422-nucleotide ribosomal RNA is filed under the name uncultured Pedobacter sp. RNAcentral describes it as "bacterial SSU rRNA". It matches the Rfam family "Bacterial small subunit ribosomal RNA", at positions 353 to 772 of the family's 1533-position model. The record is from RNAcentral. Lineage: Bacteria; Pseudomonadati; Bacteroidota; Sphingobacteriia; Sphingobacteriales; Sphingobacteriaceae.
AGUAAGGAAUAUUGGUCAAUGGAGGGAACUCUGAACCAGCCAUGCCGCGUGCAGGAAGACUGCCCUAUGGGUUGUAAACUGCUUUUAUCCGGGAAUAAACCUACUUACGUGUAAGUAGCUGAAUGUACCGGAAGAAUAAGGAUCGGCUAACUCCGUGCCAGCAGCCGCGGUAAUACGGAGGAUCCAAGCGUUAUCCGGAUUUAUUGGGUUUAAAGGGUGCGUAGGCGGCCUGUUAAGUCAGGGGUGAAAGACGGUAGCUCAACUAUCGCAGUGCCCUUGAUACUGAUGGGCUUGAAUGGACUAGAGGUAGGCGGAAUGAGACAAGUAGCGGUGAAAUGCAUAGAUAUGUCUCAGAACACCGAUUGCGAAGGCAGCUUACUAUGGUCUUAUUGACGCUGAGGCACGAAAGCGUGGGGAUCAAA